This is a long non-coding RNA of Thalassophryne amazonica, 163 nucleotides long. RefSeq lists it as uncharacterized. The transcript is spliced from 3 exons. NCBI's taxonomy places the organism in Eukaryota, Metazoa, Chordata, Actinopteri, Batrachoidiformes, Batrachoididae. The record is from RefSeq and is a predicted model, not a curated record.
GUCCACACCAUGACACAUUGCUUGCAGCACUGUUAUCGUGCGGUUGGGGACAAGAUUGAAAAAUCCACGAAAGGAUAGAACAGAAUUCAUCUGGAGCUGAACAUAUGGUGACAUUCCACGUCCCAACAGCCAGGGGCUGUGAGCAUGGACCGGGCCGCCGGGC